CUAAGGAUGAUCCUUCAGAGAGCUUACGCUCACUAUCGGAUCGUUUUAGAAACAUCAGGGGCCAACAGAUCGCCAGAUCGUUGAGCUCCAUUGGCGGGAUUUCGCCGUCUACGUUUCUCUUUCUUCGCGGACGAACACGCGCCGGGGCUGCGCUGUGCGAUUGCAUUCGGCGCUGGUCGCCGGCUGCGCGCGAGCAGGCUCCUAGUCCUUGAGAGGAUAGCGUUAGGGCUUGUAGCUCAGUUGGUUAGAGCGCGCGCUUGAUAAGCGUGAGGUCGGAAGUUCAAGUCUUCCCAGGCCCACCACUUUCAUCGAGCGAGCAUUCGUCUUCUGGUUACGGGGCCAUAGCUCAGCUGGGAGAGCGCGUGCUUUGCAAGCAUGAGGUCGUCGGUUCGAUCCCGUCUGGCUCCACCAGAUGGUUUGAUCAUCGACUGAUCGUGCACCUAAAUCGUCCGCGAAACAUCACUUCGCAUCUUGCUAGUCUGGAUAGACAGCAAGUUGCGUGAUUUCUGACAUCGUAAAGAGGAGAUCGAUCCGAGUUGGAUCGUGCAGAGCAUAUCUGCGCGAGACUUCAUUAUCUCCGGAUCAUUUCGGCGCUCGCUUUCAACCGUGAGGUUGGCUGCGAGUUGUAAAUGAUCCUUUUAGCGAAGCUUGACCGCCUCGCUAUCGGAACGAUCUUACGAAGCAAGCUGGUCUUUCUAGUCAAUGUCCGGCUGCAUAUAGCGUUCAUCGAGGGCGCGCGCCGCAAGGCAAUUAUGCAGACAACAUUCUGCCGAGUGUGUGGACAUUGAUAAUGAGAGC
Molecule: transfer RNA, 798 nt
Filed under: Bradyrhizobium genosp. TUXTLAS-30
Lineage: Bacteria; Pseudomonadati; Pseudomonadota; Alphaproteobacteria; Hyphomicrobiales; Nitrobacteraceae
Description: partial 16S-23S ribosomal RNA intergenic spacer
Rfam family: tRNA (bases 226-299)
Source: RNAcentral